CGCGCGCAGGCGGUUUCUUAAGUCUGAUGUGAAAGCCCACGGCUUAACCGUGGAGGGUCAUUGGAAACUGGGAGACUUGAGUGCAGAAGAGGAAAGUGGAAUUCCAAGUGUAGCGGUGAAAUGCGUAGAGAUUUGGAGGAACACCAGUGGCGAAGGCGACUUUCUGGUCUGCAACUGACGCUGAGGCGCGAAAGCAUGGGGAGCAAACAGGAUUAGAUACCCUGGUAGUCCAUGCCGUAAACGAUGAGUGCUAAGUGUUAGGGGGUUUCCGCCCCUUAGUGCUGCAGCUAACGCAUUAAGCACUCCGCCUGGGGAGUACGACCGCAAGGUUGAAACUCAAAGGAAUUGACGGGGGCCCGCACAAGCGGUGGAGCAUGUGGUUUAAUUCGAAGCAACGCGAAGAACCUUACCAGGUCUUGACAUCCCAGUGACCGCUCUAGAGAUAGAGUUUUCCCUUCGGGGACAUUGGUGACAGGUGGUGCAUGGUUGUCGUCAGCUCGUGUCGUGAGAUGUUGGGUUAAGUCCCGCAACGAGCGCAACCCUUAAUCUUAGUUGCCAUCAUUUAGUUGGGCACUCUAAGGUGACUGCCGGUGACAAACCGGAGGAAGGUGGG
Molecule: ribosomal RNA, 613 nt
Filed under: uncultured bacterium
Lineage: Bacteria
Description: bacterial SSU rRNA
Rfam family: Bacterial small subunit ribosomal RNA
Source: RNAcentral